CCUACGGGAGGCCGCAGUAAGGAAUAUUGGACAAUGCCCGCAAGGGUGAUCCAGCCAUGCCGCGUGCAGGAAGAAGGCCCUAUGGGUCGUAAACUGCUUUUACACCGGAGAAAACCUCCCUUCGUGAAGGGAGCUGAUAGUAUGGUGAGAAUAAGCAUCGGCUAACUUCGUGCCAGCAGCCGCGGUAAGACGAAGGAUGCAAGCGUUAUCCGGAUUCAUUGGGUUUAAAGGGAGCGUAGGUGGACUGAUAAGUCAGUGGUGAAAUCUUCGAGCUUAACUCGGAAAUUGCCAUUGAUACUGUUAGUCUUGAGUACAGUUGCUGUGGGCGGAAUAUGACAUGUAGUGGUGAAAUACAUAGAGAUGUCAUAGAACACCGAUUGCGAAGGCAGCUCACAAAGCUGUAACUGACACUGAGGCUCGAAAGUGCGGGGAUCAAACAGGAUUAGAUACCCUGGUAGUCCGCACUGUAAACGAUGAUUACUCGCUGCUAGAGGGCAACUUUUAGUGGCUUAGCGAAAGCGAUAAGUAAUCCACCUGGGGAGUACGCCGGCAACGGUUGAAACUCAAANAGAGUAGAGCGNGAGAGNGCGAGGACGACACGAGGGGAGGAGG
This 612-nucleotide ribosomal RNA is filed under the name uncultured bacterium. RNAcentral's name for it is "bacterial SSU rRNA". It matches the Rfam family "Bacterial small subunit ribosomal RNA", at positions 338 to 950 of the family's 1533-position model. The record is from RNAcentral.